RNAcentral lists this ribosomal RNA (253 nucleotides) under uncultured bacterium. RNAcentral describes it as "partial 16S ribosomal RNA". It matches the Rfam family "Bacterial small subunit ribosomal RNA", at positions 524 to 776 of the family's 1533-position model. The record is from RNAcentral.
UACGGAGGGUGCAAGCAUUAAUCGGAUUUAUUGGGCGUAAAGAGGGCGUAGGCGGAGAUGUAAGUCAGAUGUGAAGGCCCGGGGCUCAACCCCGGAACGGCAUUUGAAACUACAUUUCUAGAGGAUAGGCGGAGAAAACGGAAUUCCACAAGUAGCGGUGAAAUGCGUAGAUAUGUGGAAGAACACCGGUGGCGAAGGCGGUUUUCUAGCUUAUUCCUGACGCUGAGGCCCGAAAGCAAGGGGAGCAAACAGG